GAAAAGAACUUUGAAAAGAGAGUUAAAUAGUACGUGAAAUUGUUGAAAGGGAAACGAUUGAAGUCAGUCAUGCUAAUAAGGAAUCAACUUGAUGGGUCGUUCCCUCGGGAGCAAUCUUUCUUGUGCACUUUCUUGUUCGGCAGGUUAGCAUCAAUUUCGGUUGUCAUCAAAAAAUUGAGGUAAUGUGACUUCUUUCGGGAAGUGUUAUAGACCUUGAUAUAUGUGGUGAUCGGGAUUGAGGAUUGCAGCGGAUGCUUUUGGGCUAGUCACCUACCUUCUGACGGUUACCCCGCUUUCGAUAGCUUGCUAACGAUUGUGGGAUUUAACGGUCUAGAUGUUGGAGUGAUCUUAUAUUCGCUAAGGAUGCUGACGUAAUGGCUUUAAACGACCCGUCUUGAAA
Molecule: ribosomal RNA, 400 nt
Filed under: uncultured Glomeromycotina
Lineage: Eukaryota; Fungi; Glomeromycota
Description: eukaryotic LSU rRNA
Rfam family: Eukaryotic large subunit ribosomal RNA
Source: RNAcentral